GGAGGGCGGAGCGGUCGGCAGCACCUGGUGUCGGUGUGUCCUGAGUCUAUCUGCUGUCAGGAGGCUGACCUGGACCAUGCCAUGCGUGGUGAAGCAUGUUUAACAAAUGUUCGCACACUUGUAUGCCGCGGAACAGCGGCUGGGAAUCACUGGAUUGGAGCACUCUCUGGCUUUUCGUCUGAGAUUUACAGCUUGACCAUCUAUUUACUGAUAAACACUACUUCACCUAAGAGACUUGAGUAUCCAGUUCUUCGUUGACCUUCAGCAUUCAGUUGUUUGUCUUCACCUUUUCAGGUUUCCUGUGUCCAGCAUCUUCAAGACAGACUAAGCUAACUUUUCAUAUUUUUUGCACAUUUAUAUUUAGGUUAGGAGUAGGUUAGGUUUAUAGUAGACUAUUUAGUUUGUAUAGUUUAGCUUUUUAUGCUGGUCUAGGGACAGUUAAGUUAGCAAAUUAAUUUAGGUCAGAUCACUUACAAUUGCAUAUUAUUGUUACAAUUGUGUUAUUUUGUGAGUUAUUGUUGUACAGGCUAUUGUAUAUUGCAGAACCAAGUGAGACGAGGAAGACCACUGCUUCCAAGAUGCUGCUCAGAAAGUGCGUUGGACAAGUCUCGACCUUGCAGAUCCUGCCCCACUUAGC
This is a long non-coding RNA of Centropristis striata (black sea bass), 637 nucleotides long. RefSeq lists it as uncharacterized. The transcript has 4 exons. NCBI's taxonomy places the organism in Eukaryota, Metazoa, Chordata, Actinopteri, Perciformes, Serranidae. The record is from RefSeq and is a predicted model, not a curated record.